UGCCAGCCGCCGCGGUAAUACGUAGGGGGCAAGCGUUAUCCGGAAUUAUUGGGCGUAAAGAGUGCGUAGGUGGUUUUGUAAGCGUAGGGUGAAAGGCAAUAGCUCAACUAUUGUAAGCCUUGCGAACUGCAAAACUUGAGUGCAGGAGAGGAAAGCGGAAUUCCUAGUGUAGCGGUGAAGUGCGUAGAUAUUAGGAGGAACACCAGUGGCGAAGGCGGCUUUCUGGACUGUAACUGACACUGAGGCACGAAAGCGUGGGGAGCAAACAGGAUUAGAUA
This 278-nucleotide ribosomal RNA is filed under the name uncultured bacterium. RNAcentral's name for it is "partial 16S ribosomal RNA". It matches the Rfam family "Bacterial small subunit ribosomal RNA", at positions 506 to 784 of the family's 1533-position model. The record is from RNAcentral.